This 496-nucleotide ribosomal RNA is filed under the name uncultured bacterium. RNAcentral's name for it is "partial 16S ribosomal RNA". It matches the Rfam family "Bacterial small subunit ribosomal RNA", at positions 29 to 507 of the family's 1533-position model. The record is from RNAcentral.
AACGAACGCUGGCGGCGCGUCUUAAGCAUGCCAGUCGAACGGCAAGAGAGGAGCUUGCUUCUCUCCUAGAGUGGCGGACUGGUGAGGAACGCGUGGGUAAUCUACCCUUAAGAUGGGGAUAGCUGCUAGAAAUAGCAGGUAAUACCGAAUACACUCGGCAUAUCACAAGAGGUGUUGAGGAAAGGAAGCUACGGCUUCGCUUGAGGAUGAGCUUGCGUCCCAUUAGCUAGUUGGUGAGGUAAAGGCCCACCAAGGCGACGAUGGGUAUCCGGCCUGAGAGGGUGAACGGACACAUUGGGACUGAGAUACGGCCCAAACUCCUACGGGAGGCAGCAGCUAAGAAUAUUCCGCAAUGGACGGAAGUCUGACGGAGCGACGCCGCGUGGAUGAAGAAGGCUGAAAAGUUGUAAAAUCCUUUUGUUGAUGAAGAAUAAGGGUGAGAGGGAAUGCUCAUCUGAUGACGGUAAUCGACGAAUAAGCCCCGGCUAAUUACGUG